This is a long non-coding RNA of Haliotis rubra (blacklip abalone), 302 nucleotides long. RefSeq lists it as uncharacterized. The record is from RefSeq and is a predicted model, not a curated record. Lineage: Eukaryota; Metazoa; Mollusca; Gastropoda; Lepetellida; Haliotidae. The transcript is spliced from 3 exons.
AAAUUAUUUCAUUAUCUAUGAAAUCCAUAUGGUAUAUGAAGAUAUUUCAUUAUCUAUAAAAUGUGUAUGGUGUAUGAAGAUAUUUCAUGAUCUAUAAAAUGUGUAUGGUAUAUGAAAAUAUUUCAUUACCUAUAAAAUGUGUAUGAUAUAUGAAGAUAUUUAAUGAUCUAUAAAAUGUGUAUGGUAUAUGAAAAUAUUUCAUUACCUAUAAAAUGUGUAUGGUAUAUGAAGAUAUUUCAUGAUCUAUAAAAUGUGUAUGGUAUAUGAAGAUAUUUCAUGAUCUAUAAAAUGUGAAUGGUAUA